AAAGAGGGCCUGAUUGUGACUUCCUGUGACGACUUCCUGCCCAGGCCUCUCACUUCCUGUUUAGCCCUCCACUCCACACCCCUUUUGUGUAGGAUUGGAAAUACCCAUGCGUCAUCCACAUGAAGAUGUCAGGCUGUGGGAAGGACAGACCUGGAACCAGAAAGGGACCAAGGUGGGGUAGUCCCCGUAGGAGCACACAGAAGGAGUGGCAGGAAAACCAGGGUGGUGUCUGCAGGCGCCAAGAAAAGAAGGUACUUCAGGAGAGGGAAGACGCUUUGACAAACAGUGCCCCCGUGCAAUCACAAAAGGAAUGAAAAGUGGCUUCUUCCGUCAAUCUGGGCACAUUUCUCUUCUUUAAGGCCCUGAAUAUUCGCUGGGAGGACUGAUGCUGAAGCUGAAGCUCCAAUACUUUGGCCAUCUGAUGCAAAGAACUGACUCAUUGGAAAAGACCCUGAUGCUGGGAAAGAUUGAAGGCAGGAGGAAAAGGAGAUGACAGAGGAUGAGAUAGUUGAGUGCUGUCUCUGACUCAAUGGACAUGAGUAUAAGCAAACUCUGGGGAAUGGUGAAGGACAGGGAAGCCUGGCAUGUUGCAAUCCAUGGGGUUGCAAAGUCAGACAUGAUGCAGCGACUGAACAACAACAACAAUAGGCUCUAGUGACUUUAAAGAAAAAAGCACAAUGUGGGAGUUCCUAAGUUUGAUUUGAGACCAAAUGAGGACUGCAGCCCAGGAGACAGCACCUCAGAUAGCUUUGAGAAACUGCUCCAAAGAGGUAGAGGGAAAGGCCAGCAUAUAUGUGAUUCUAGUGAAGGGAGGGUACAUGCUUGAAUCAAGCACAUGUUCUUCCAGAAAGUUUCUGCUUGACUCAUGAAGCUUUCUGCUGAUCAUGAGAAACAGUCAUCACCAGGAAGGAUUUUAGUGUUUUCCUAGAUAUGAGGAGGAAAUACAAAGACUUGGGCUAAUAAAAUCAACUCCAAAAAUAUGUAACUAUCUGAAGACCUGUCUUGCCAGUUCCCUGCUCCCCACCCCACCACAGCGUGCCUCUUCUCUGCUCUCCACUCUGAACACCCUUCAGGGGGUGGUGAAGGUCAGCAGCUGCAGCAGCAUAUGAUUUAAUCCUUGUAGAGGUAGAUGGCAAGUGCCUGUGGCAAGUGCCAAUGGCAAGUGCCAAUUUGUAGUUGAUGGCUCCUUCACAGAGAUCUUA
Long non-coding RNA from Dama dama (fallow deer), 1202 nucleotides. RefSeq lists it as uncharacterized. Lineage: Eukaryota; Metazoa; Chordata; Mammalia; Artiodactyla; Cervidae. The transcript is spliced from 3 exons. The record is from RefSeq and is a predicted model, not a curated record.